CCCUAUGGGGUGCAGCAGGCAUAAAGGUCAAGGGCAUGCCGGAUAGCGACGUUGACCGAGCGGAAACCCGUCCCGAUCGGCGUAGUCAUCGGUCCUUUAAGCGCGACUUUAUUUUUCUUGAUCGACGACAGUGUCGCCUCAGGCAGCAGGCUGCCUUCUUUUUCCAGGGCGACCGCACCCGCAAGGGCGGUUUCCCAGUUGAUCUUGACUCCCGUGGCAUCAAUGCACCGUUGCGCAGCCAGCGAGACUUCCGGACCGAUGCCAUCCCCGGGUAUUAGUGUUAUUGUAUGGCUCAUAGGUUUGACAGUAGCUUUGUUAAACUUCGGGAAGCUUGCCGUAUUUGGCAUAGUAAUUAACGAUGCCGCCUUCUCUUAAGAGUUCCUGCAUAAUUGGCGGGAGGGC
This 402-nucleotide ribosomal RNA is filed under the name uncultured prokaryote. RNAcentral describes it as "partial 16S ribosomal RNA". The record is from RNAcentral.